RNAcentral lists this ribosomal RNA (196 nucleotides) under Fructilactobacillus sanfranciscensis. RNAcentral's name for it is "Lactobacillus sanfranciscensis partial 16S ribosomal RNA". It matches the Rfam family "Bacterial small subunit ribosomal RNA", at positions 337 to 525 of the family's 1533-position model. Lineage: Bacteria; Bacillati; Bacillota; Bacilli; Lactobacillales; Lactobacillaceae. RNAcentral also lists the same sequence under 2 other names. The record is from RNAcentral.
UCCUACGGGAGGCAGCAGUAGGGAAUCUUCCACAAUGGACGAAAGUCUGAUGGAGCAACGCCGCGUGAGUGAAGAAGGGUUUCGGCUCGUAAAACUCUGUUGUUAGAGAAGAACAGCCGUGAGAGCAACUGCUCACGGUAUGACGGUAUCUAACCAGAAAGUCACGGCUAACUACGUGCCAGCAGCCGCGGUAAUA